GCAAGUCGAGCGGACAGAAGGGAGCUUGCUCCCGGAUGUUAGCGGCGGACGGGUGAGUAACACGUGGGUAACCUGCCUGUAAGACUGGGAUAACUCCGGGAAACCGGAGCUAAUACCGGAUAGUUCCUUGAACCGCAUGGUUCAAGGAUGAAAGACGGUUUCGGCUGUCACUUACAGAUGGACCCGCGGCGCAUUAGCUAGUUGGUGGGGUAAUGGCUCACCAAGGCGACGAUGCGUAGCCGACCUGAGAGGGUGAUCGGCCACACUGGGACUGAGACACGGCCCAGACUCCUACGGGAGGCAGCAGUAGGGAAUCUUCCGCAAUGGACGAAAGUCUGACGGAGCAACGCCGCGUGAGUGAUGAAGGUUUUCGGAUCGUAAAGCUCUGUUGUUAGGGAAGAACAAGUGCGAGAGUAACUGCUCGCACCUUGACGGUACCUAACCAGAAAGCCACGGCUAACUACGUGCCAGCAGCCGCGGUAAUACGUAGGUGGCAAGCGUUGUCCGGAAUUAUUGGGCGUAAAGGGCUCGCAGGCGGUUUCUUAAGUCUGAUGUGAAAGCCCCCGGCUCAACCGGGGAGGGUCAUU
This 587-nucleotide ribosomal RNA is filed under the name Bacillus sp. (in: firmicutes). RNAcentral's name for it is "bacterial SSU rRNA". It matches the Rfam family "Bacterial small subunit ribosomal RNA", at positions 57 to 627 of the family's 1533-position model. Lineage: Bacteria; Bacillati; Bacillota; Bacilli; Caryophanales; Bacillaceae. The record is from RNAcentral.